UCUCGCCUCAACUCCAACCUAUCAUUAUGAGUGUUUGGCUGUACUGCCUUUGUUCAUAUUCAUUCUCAUCGUCGAGGUAAACUUGAUCCCCGAGCUGUUAAAUGUGUUCUGAUCGGAUACUCUCCUACUCAAAAGGGUUACAAAUGCUUUGACCCAUCAACAAAAAGAACGUUUGUAAGUUCAGAUGUCACUUUCUUUGAAAAUACACCAUAUUUCCAAAAAACUUCUAUUCAAGGGGAGACACUACAUGAAGAUCGGUUCCUAGAUUUCGAUCUCAAUCUCAACCUCAAUUCUCUUGAGUCUACACCCACCAAUAAUUCACCCACCAAUAAUUCUACACUACCAUCCAGUAUGCCAUUAACAGAAGAAAACUUACAACCAAGGAGAGAUGUAGAAAAACAAAGUAAUGAAGAGAUACUAGGUUACUCACGGAAGCGAAAAUCAAAGUACAAGGAAACCAUCACAUCUGAGGCACCAAAAGAGUCAGAACCGAUGAUGGCUCCUCAUGAAGCCUCAAAUAUUCCCGACUUACCCAUUGCUCUCAGAAAACCAAUUAGGUCAUGUACUCUCCAUCCUAUUUCAAAAUUCA
This 589-nucleotide long non-coding RNA is filed under the name Olea europaea subsp. europaea. The record is from RNAcentral. Lineage: Eukaryota; Viridiplantae; Streptophyta; Magnoliopsida; Lamiales; Oleaceae.